UUUGAAAUUCAAAUUUCACGCCAAAACUACAAUCUAUCUGUUUGUCUCGAACAACUCAAUGAAUUUUUUUUACAAAUAGUGGUAGCAAAAAGAUCUUCCCCAAAUCUUCUGAAGUAGCAGAUUCUUCUAAAGCCAACAGGGGGGUUUCAGUUCCAGGAGCAGCAGCUGGAUUUACUUAUAGCUUCUCAACGCCUCAAUGAUUUUAAGGUUACUUUCUAGAAUGCAGAGAUGCAGUUGCAGGACCUGAAACCAUGUGUGCUUAGUGCUGUGGUGUGCUGAUGGAUGUGUUGCUUAUGCCUCACACUAUCGGCCCACGGCAUUUGGCUAUGGUUUCAAGAUGUGUGCUUAAUGCAGCGGUGUGCUGAUGGAUGUGUCGCCUAGUGCUCACAUCUAACGGCCCGCAGCAUUUGGCUAUGGUUUCAAGAUGUGUGCUUAAUGCAGCGGCGUGCUGAUGGAUUUGUGCAGCUCACUGCUCACAACCUGCGGCCCGCAGCAUUUGGCUAUCAACCCACGAUGUGUGCUUAGUGCAACGGUGUGCUGAUGGGUUUCUGCAGCUCACUGCUCACAACCUACGGCCCGCAGCAUUUGGCUAUCGAUUCUUGUUCUUAGUCUGUCAAAGAAGCUAAUUAUCAACUCCAAAAGUAUAAAGUCUUAAUUCCCCGACUAUGUUUUACUAACUGUUGCAUCAGCUUCAUUCUGACUUCAGGAACGAAGUAUCUUGUUUGUUUGUUGCACAACUUGAUUACUUCUUCCACGGACAUUGCAUAUUCAGUAGGGAGAGUUUUUCAUCCAGAAUGCUUGCCUACUUGGCAUUUAAUCAGCCUGCCGCUUGGGUAAAGUUUCACUGAUAAUAGCCUAGUUUACCUGUUUAGAUUUUGUUGUAUUGCUUUGCUGACUAGAUUAUUAGUACUCUGCUAGUAUAUUUAAUUUUAUUCUUGCUUUCCUAUAAUCAAACCUUGUGUUGAAUUUGUUCGACAAAGAAGAUAACAGGUUACACUUACAUGUCAAAUCAAAAGGCACACAUUCUUAAUCUAUCUCAAUGUACACUUAACUUGUUCUUAUAUCUCUAGAAUCCCUGAGUUUCUCUUUUGCUUGUUACAGGUCUAUCAUUCUUGUUAUAGGUUUUUACCAUUUUUCUCGAUGAGUGUCAGGUUAGUACAUUUUGCCUUUACAAAGGCAUUUAGUAGUUUUUAUCUCAUGGAAACAAUUGCAGGAAAAACAACGAGAUGUAUAAGCAUUCUUAUCUUACAUCAAUAUGUAUUGAGGCAGCGAUGAUCUAAAAUCGUUACUAACUUGAGGGUCGGAGUAUCUUUUUUGUUUUUUUUUGCAGGUCUCGCCUUUGUAUUCAUAUGACAAACUCAAUUAGCAGAGUUGUUGAAAUGAAAUGCUGGUGCCCUUUUUUGUUUUUUGCAGGUCUUGCCUUUGUAUUCCUAUGACAAAUUUAAUUAGCGGAGUUGUUGAAAUGGAAUGCCGAUGCCUCGUGGGAAAUGUUAUCUGUUUUUCUUUUUUACUUUGUUUUGCAUAAAAUUGUUACUAAAUUGAGCGUUGGAGUAUCUUUUUUGUUUGUUGCAGGUCUUGCCUUUGUAUCCCUAUGAUAAAUUCAAUUAGCAGAGUUUUUGAAACGGAAUGCUGAUGCCUCCUGGGAAUUGUUAUCAUUUUGGUUAUUAUGUUUUGCAUAAAAUUGUUUCCAACUUGAGGGUCAUAUCUUUUUUUGUGUUUUGCAGGUCCUGCCUUCGUAUUACUACAACCAAUUCAGUUAGCAGAACUGUUAAAAUGGAAUGCUGGUGCCUUGUCGGGAAUGUUAUCUGGUUGGUGAUUAUGUUUUGCAUGAAAUUGUUUCUAACUUGAGCGUCGUGGUACCUUUUUGCAGGUCCUGCCUUUGUGUUUCUACGACCAAUUCAGUUAGUAGAGCUGUUGAAAUAAAAUUCUGGUGUCUAGUGGGGAAUUUUAUCUGUUUGGUUAUUAUGUUUUGCAUGAGAUUAUUUGUAGUUUGUGCAUUGGAGUAUCUUUUUUGUCUUUUUGCAGGUCUAGCCUUUGUAUUUCUAUGACAAAUUCAAGUAGCAGAGUUGUUCAAACGGAAUGCUGGCGCCUCAUUGGGAAUUUAUUUUUAUUUUUUUACUAUGUUGCAAAAAAUGUUACUAACUUGAGCUUCGGAGUACCUUUUUUGUUUUUUUGCAGGUUAUGCCUCUGUAUUCCUAUGACAAAUUCAAUUAGCAUUGUUGAAACGGAAAGUUGGUGCCUCGUGGGGGAAUGUUAUCUUUUUUUUUUGUUUUUCUUCUAAGUUUUGUAUAAAAUUGUUUCUAACUUGAGCUUCGGAGUAUCAUUUUUGUUUUUUUGCAGGUCUUGGCUUUGUAUUCCUAUGACCUAAACAAUUACCAGUGCUGCUGAAACGGAAUGCUGUUGCUUCGUGGGGAUUGUUAUAUUUUUGGCUCUUGAUCAAUUUGCCCCUAGGUUAUGUCUGACUUCAAAGGAUAAUGCAAAUGGAGACCGAUCAGUCCUGUGAAUUGUGUACUUUAAUGAGAUCCUCCUGCUCCCUAAAAGAGGCUACACUUCAGCUCAAAUGUUACACGUUACGCUUAUGACUCUUAUCUUUACCAAAUUUCAAAUGAAAAGUAUAUAUUUACUUGUUUUCGUCUAAAAUGCUUCCUGAGUAAAAGCUUCAGAGUAUCUUUUUCUGUUUUUGCAGGUCUUGCCUUGUUGUUCGGAGGCCAGUGAUUAGGUAGAAUUUGGAAAGCUGGUGCCUGGUAGACAAAGCUUGUGUGAUCUUACUUUAAAUGAUGCAAAUGGAGACCCAUCAGUCCUGUGAAUAGAUACUAGUGAGAUCCUCCUUUUCCUUUAAAGAGGCUGCAUUUCGACUCCAAAAGUUAACUUCCAACUCUUAUCUUUGCCAAAUUUCAAAUCAAAAUUAUAUAUUCUAAAUCUAUGUUUACCUAUUAUUGUGUAACAUUCUUCCCGAGUUAAGCUUCGGAUUUAUUUUAUUUUUGCUGUUUUUGCAGGUCUUGCCUGCUUAUUUGGAAGCCACGCGUAAGGGAGAGUUGUUGAUGUGGAAUGCUGGUGCCUGGUAGAGAAUGCUUGUGUGCAUCGCAUUUGACCAGUCUGUUGUCAGGAUAUACAGGGGAUCAGAGAUCCGGGGCAUCAUUGUUCAUCGGAUAAUCAAGAGAAUGUUAUCUUUUUGGCUCUGGUCAGUUUGCCUCUAGGGUCUGUCUGGAUUAAAAGGAGGCAAAUGCGGUCCGGCCAGUCCUGUGAAUUGAAAGCUUCAAAGAGAAUGAUUUCUGGAUACAACGGUUAAAAAGAGGUGAUAUCCUCUUCUUCCCUAUGAGGCCACAUCUCUACUCAACUUCAGAUCAGAUGAAUAUAUAUAUAUAUACAUAUAUACAUGGGAUCAGAGAUCAGGGGCAUCAUUAUUCGUUGGAUAUUCAAUGCAAGUCUCCGAAACAACAUCAUUCGUGCACUGCAUACAUCUGAUUAUGGUAGGAGGGAUGGCGAUUAGAAGAAUAUAUAAGCUGAGAAGAAUACAGCUCAAGAAUUCACUUUGUGUUUAUUUACUACACUGGUGCUAAAUGUGUGUUGCACAGUGUUUUGAUCUGAUGAUACGAAAUCUCUCCGGGAGAUGGUCUAGUACUCUAGUUGCAAAUUACAAAGUGGUGCUGUGGCUGUGCUUACUUAUGCCAGAUAUGCGCUGAAAGUGUAUUUGUUGUUUCAUGUCUUACAAACAUGUGGAAAACCCAUUUUGAAGCAGCAAUGGGCAGGCAAUAUUAAUUUUUCAGAUUACUCGCAUACCGGACGUUGUAUAAAUACAGACGACGGACAGAUUGUAAAAGUAGUUUAACAAACGGAUGUA
Molecule: long non-coding RNA, 3841 nt
Organism: Papaver somniferum (opium poppy)
Lineage: Eukaryota; Viridiplantae; Streptophyta; Magnoliopsida; Ranunculales; Papaveraceae
Exons: 6
Source: RefSeq, a predicted model, not a curated record